AUGCGUGUGUGGUACAUGUACUCGAUGCAUGACUUGCCGGUGUAUGCGCUAUUCGUUGGCUGGUGUGUGCAUGGAAGGUUCCCGUGCCCCACAUGCAAGGCAGCUCUUGAGUUUCGUCAGCUGCAGGCGGGUGGCAAGUAUUCUUGCUUCGACAUGCAUAGACAGUUCCUGGAUCCUCACUAUAAGUUCAUAAAAGACAAGAAGAACUUCAUCAAAGGUAGAGAUGUCAAAAACUCUGCACCACCUGCAUUGACAGGCCAACAGACCCUGGAUCAGUUAAACACUCUCGAGCCGGAUCCAGAGCGUCCAGGGUAUUUCAAGGGGUAUAAUACGGAACACGCCUGGACCCACAAGACAUGCUUGUGGGAUCUGCCGUACUUCAAAGACCUCCUUUGCCCACACAACAUCAACGUGAUGCACACUGAAAAGAAUGUCGGCGAGGCCCUCUUUGGUACAUUGUUCGGCAUAGAGGGGAAAACGAAGGAUAAUCCUAAGGCUAGAGUCGAUCAGGAGGCUCUAUGUGAUAGACCGCUACAAAACAUGAAACAACCAAAAGGAAAGAAUAACUGGGCGAAGCCAAAGUCAUGGUUCAAUCUUGGAAGGCCGGUUAUAAGGAAAAUACUCCUGUGGGUGAAAAAGGAGUUGAUGUUCCCCGAUGGGUAUGCAUCGAAUCUAAAGAGGGCAGCGAGCCUUGAAAAAUUGAAAAUAUUUGGUCUCAAGAGUCAUGAUUGGCACAUAUGGCUUGAGCGGGCAAUGCCGGUGAUGUUGCGUGGCUUUAUCCCUGAGGAUGAAUGGCUAGUACUGGCAGAGCUGAGCUAUUUCUUCCAUGUUCUAUGUGCGAAAGAAUUAUCGCCUGGCUUGCUAGAAGAAAUGGAAGAGUUGGCACCGGAGUUGAUCUGCAAGUUGGAGAAGAUCUUUCCACCUGGCUUCUUUAAUCCAAUGCAGCAUUUGAUUUUGCAUCUCCCGACCGAGGCACGAUUGGGGGGGCCGUGCAGAAUCGUUGGUGCUACGCAACUGAGAGGAUGCAGAAGACGCUUCGAGCAAAAUGUAAAAAUAAACGUCGAAUUGAAGCAUCGAUGGCCGAGGCAUUCAUUACUGAGGAGGCGGCAGACUUUGUGA
This 1119-nucleotide ribosomal RNA is filed under the name Triticum aestivum (bread wheat). RNAcentral describes it as "partial small subunit ribosomal RNA". Lineage: Eukaryota; Viridiplantae; Streptophyta; Magnoliopsida; Poales; Poaceae. The record is from RNAcentral.